AGUGAACGCUGGCGGUAGGCCUAACACAUGCAAGUCGAACGGCAGCACAGGAGAGCUUGCUCUCUGGGUGGCGAGUGGCGGACGUGUGAGGAAUACAUCGGAAUCUGCCCAGUCGUGGGGGAUAACUUAGGGAAACUUACGCUAAUACCGCAUACGACCUUCGGGUGAAAGAGGGGGAUCGCAAGACCUCUCGCGAUUGGAUGAGCCGAUGUCGGAUUAGCUAGUUGGCGGGGUAAUGGCCCACCAAGGCGACGAUCCGUAGCUGGUCUGAGAGGAUGAUCAGCCACACUGGAACUGAGACACGGUCCAGACUCCUACGGGAGGCAGCAGUGGGGAAUAUUGGACAAUGGGCGCAAGCCUGAUCCAGCCAUACCGCGUGGGUGAAGAAGGCCUUCGGGUUGUAAAGCCCUUUUGUUGGGAAAGAAAUCUUUCAGGCUAAUACCCUGGGAGGAUGACGGUACCCAAAGAAUAAGCACCGGCUAACUUCGUG
Molecule: ribosomal RNA, 490 nt
Filed under: uncultured bacterium
Lineage: Bacteria
Description: partial 16S ribosomal RNA
Rfam family: Bacterial small subunit ribosomal RNA
Source: RNAcentral